UCUAACUUUAUUUCUAACCUUGUAGAUUUAUCCAUAAAUUGAGUGUGGAUAAAGGGAAUGAUCACAUUUAUGGAUUUUUGGAACCCGAGUUAAUCCAAAAAAUUGGGAACAAGACAGAAGAAAUUCAAGCUUACAUCCAAAAUUGGAUGUCUGAAUCAAAUAAAAAAGUUUACUUAGUUCCUUACUUUUCUAAUGCUCAUUGGCAACUUCUGAUUAUUUGUCCUAUGGACAAUAUAUCUGUAUGCAUUUGUUCGAUGCACAAACCUCCUCCUGCAGAUUUUAAACAAUUAUUAGAUAAGGCUAUGGAAGGAUACCAUAUGCUUAAAGGUUCAAAGUUGAAGAAAAAAAUGCUUUGGGUCUCUCUUAAAUCUCAUAAGCAAAAAGGAAACUAUGAGUGCGG
Non-coding RNA from Cajanus cajan (pigeon pea), 400 nucleotides. The record is from RefSeq and is a predicted model, not a curated record. NCBI's taxonomy places the organism in Eukaryota, Viridiplantae, Streptophyta, Magnoliopsida, Fabales, Fabaceae.